GACGAACGCUGGCGGCGUGCUUAACACAUGCAAGUCGAACGGAAAGGCCCUGCUUUUGUGUGGUUCUCGAUUGCCGAACGCGUGAGUAACACGUGUGUAUCCUGCCCUUGACUUUGGGAUAACUUCACGAAACUCGGGCUAAUACAGGAUAGGAUCUCCUGCUGCAUGGUGGGGGUUGGAAAGUUUCGGCGGUUGGGGAUGGACUAGCGGCUUCUCAGCUUGUUGGUGGGGUAGUGGCUUACCAAGGCUUUGACGGGUAGCCGGCCUGGGAGGGGUAACGGCCACAUUGGGACUGAGAUACGGCCCAGACUCCAACAGGAGGCAGCAGUGGAGAAUAUUGCACAAUGAGAGGAAGCCGGAUGCAGCGACGCCGCGUUCGUGAAGACGGCCUUCUGGUUGUAAACCGCUUUCGCCUGUGACGAAGCGUGAGUGACGGUAAUGGGUAAAGAAGCACCGGCUAACUACGUG
This 468-nucleotide ribosomal RNA is filed under the name uncultured bacterium. RNAcentral describes it as "partial 16S ribosomal RNA". It matches the Rfam family "Bacterial small subunit ribosomal RNA", at positions 28 to 507 of the family's 1533-position model. The record is from RNAcentral.